RNA transcript from Triplophysa rosa, 9021 nucleotides. RefSeq lists it as uncharacterized. Lineage: Eukaryota; Metazoa; Chordata; Actinopteri; Cypriniformes; Nemacheilidae. The record is from RefSeq and is a predicted model, not a curated record. The transcript is spliced from 2 exons.
UUUUAUUGUCCCACCCAAGCCCUGUUGUUAUUUUGUCAUGUCUGCCGUUGAUUUUGUUUUCUCUGUUUUGCCUUGUCCUGUCUGUUACCCAGUCGGUCUUGUCUUGUCCGUCUACCUCUUGGUGAGCACCUGGAGGUGCUCAUUAAAGGGGGGGCUUCUGUCAUGGCUCUGCUUCAUUUAGUCUUGUUUUUCUUGGUCCUGUAGCAGAGACAUGGCAAAGCCUUAGUGUGCAAAAGACCCAAGCUGAGGAGUUAACACGCCGGAAUGAUGUGCGGAUAUUCACUGUUCCCAGAGGAGCUUUUAUUAUGAAAGCGAGCACCGCUCAUCCGGAGCGAUUGCGGAAGAGCGUUAGUUGUUGGAACAGCGCGUGGGACAGUGGUGCGGCAUACACAGGCUCGUAAAUCAGGCUGUAACUGAAUCUUCCGAGCCAGGUUAUAACGUAGUGUGCUGAUGUGCGUCCAAUAAGAGUGAGUACAGAUAGAGUUAUAUGUGUUCGCUUGGAUUGUGUUCCUUAUUGUUAAUGCUAACAUGCUACUAGCUACACAGCUGUUCAUAGCUGUGAUAAUCACUCAUGUUACUGUUUGUCAGCGUGUUGCUAAUGAAGAGUGUUGUUUCAUUAUGUCAAUGGUGUAUUUGGUAACAAUGAAGGAAUGAGUGUAGUACAUAUUAUUGUGAAGAUGUAUGAGGGGAGAAGCCAUAGUUAUCUGUUAAUGCGUUAACUGCAUGGAUGUUAUGCACUAUAGCUCUGCAUGCUUAGGAGUUCUGUUGUUAUCUGUUCCAGGGAAACCACAUCUGCACAUCUGUACAUCUUUACAUAUUAACCUCUCCACCUGCAUCUUACCUGGCCCGGUUGCAAAUACUGCCAAUCUUAACCGCCACUGAAAUUUACCUGGAUAAUUCAGAGAGUACCAGUCUGAGUGAUGAACGGAACAGCACUCAGUUUGUUCAUGGCUCUGGGUUCAGUAAAGGGACACUGAUCGUACUCCUCGUGAUCUUGUUAACGCUGGCUCUCCCCUCUGAUGAUUGUUCAUGUGUGCCCAAUAAACGGCUUAAGUUGACCCAAUGCUCUCUGCUGUGUUCUGACCGACACCCUGGUUCACUGCUAUACUUAUUUGAAACUAGCCCCUUUCCUCUCAGAGUAGCCCUUCGCUACAUUUGUGGUCCUUCGAGCCGGAUAGCAACUGUGCUGGGAAUAUUCAGCCGAGCGAGGGAGCAGUGUGGGCCAUGCCAGCCCGCCCAAGCGACAACCGGAAUAUUUACAGGAUUACGUGGUUGGAGCAGCUCCACCGAGGAGGUCUAGCCCAACACGUCACAGUACGCCCUCCUUUCCACCCGGAGCAGCUGAGUGGAUCCCACGUUCUCACGUUCCAUGGAAUAAGACCCCUUGCACGAGGGAUGAGUCCUCCGCUGACUGGGAUGAUAGCCUCCAAGACACGAACAUAGCAUGGUCACAACCACCAACUACCUCUACCCGGGAGCCGAGACUAGAGCGACGGACACAGCCCACAGAACCAUGGCCGAGACCUCCGCCCUCCAGGCCCGAUGACUUCCAAUUAGGGGAAGAGGAGGAGCCUGAAGAGUUACCGCCACCGCCAUGGCCCCCAUUUGAGCCACAUCCUAUGCCCACGAGGGUGGAGGAGCACAGAGUGAUUACCGUCAUAGAUAGGAUGAUGAGGGAGCUACAGCUCAUGAGAGACCAAGCGGUGUCUGAAGCACCCGCUAAUGAUAUCCAGCACUCUCACCAACGCGAUCCUUCUUCGUACAGACUACGUAAUGAACAUUGGGAUGCUCGGCCUCGACCCCAGAGGUCAGGAUCUUUCUCACCAAUGUCUCACACGGAGCAGUUCCCAACCAGAGUCGACAUGAGUUAUCCGCACCGUGCUCGAGGGCUACCUCAGUCGCCAGGAGCAAUGUCACUGGGAAGAGGAGGAUAUCAGGGACCAGCCCCAAGAAUCCCUCUUUUCGUUCAUAAAGACCCGAUGGAAUUCUCCAGGCUGAAGCUAGCUUUAACCAACCUGUUACCUGCGGAUGCCCCGGAGCUCUUUAAGUACCAGAUCCUUGUGGAUCAUGUGAAGCUCGAGGAAGCCUGUCUCAUAGCUGAUUCCUUUAUUAACUCACCCAGGCCUUACAUGGACACAAUGGCCGCCCUGACGGAGAAGUUCGGACAGCCUCAUCAAGUAGCCUUAAAGAGGAUUGCGACCAUCAUGGAUUCACCUGAGAUCAAACGAGGAGAUAUAGCGGCCUUUGAAAGAUUCUCACUGCAUGUACAGUCACUAGUGGGCAUGCUACAGACAUUGGGUCCGGAUGGUGAUGUGGAGCUUAGAUGUGGUUCUCAUGUAGCUCGGAUCCUCUCCAAGCUUCCGACCGAGAUGAGAGCGAACUUCAGACGACAGAUGUUCUACGGUCAUGGGCAUACUCACACCUUGCGUGACCUGGCAGAAUGGCUCAGAUAUGAGUCUUGGUGUCAAGGCUACGACAACAUCUCAGAUGUCCAUACCCAAGGGUCAACAGGCUACCGAGCGGAAAAGCGACGCAGCCGACCUGCAGCUACAGUGCUUCACGGAGCAGAAGGCCGUCUGCCGAGACAGGCGGGAAACCAAGGGAGUCACAGCUCUUUUAAUCCGACCAAAAGAGGCAAUGUGAAACCGUACUGCCCUUAUUGUGAGAACAACGACCACUUCCUGAAUAAGUGUCCCGACAUUCAGAAACUCACCAGAGAGGAGAUCAGAGAGUGGAUAAGAGUGAACAAGAGAUGCUGGAAAUGUGGACGAGGACAUCAAGCCGUACAAUGUGACCUCAAAAAGCUCUGCGAUUUGUGCCAUGAGAGGCACCUCCGGAUUCUGCAUGAUGCCAAUGCUCGCCCAAAGGUCGAACCGCCAAAGACGGAGAGUUGUCUAGUGAGCUCCGGAACGGAAAUACUCUACUUGGACAGACCAUCGGUGCAUUCCCGUGUCCUACUGAAAGUCGUCAGGGUACUUCUGCGCAAUAGAGACAAGACACUAGAAACGUACGCUGUCCUCGACGAUGGUUCUGAGCGGACGAUGCUCCUCGCGGAGGCUGCCGAUCAACUGGGCCUGCCCAAGAAGCCUGAGGACCUAGCACUCCGCACAAUCCGUCAGGAGGUUCAAACCUUGAAGGGAUCAUCAGUCUCAUUCAGCAUAUCCUCCCCCUCUCGUCCCAAGAGGACCUUUCGAAUAACAGAAGCUUUUACUUCUCGAUACUUGGCUUUGGCAGAUUACACCUACCCCAUUGUCUGUCUGAAGAAGAAGUACAGGCAUCUGGCAGACAUACCCCUUGAGCCCUUCGAGCAUGUGAAACCACUCUUGCUGAUCGGUGCUGAUUACCCCCAUCUACUCACCCCGAUCGAGCCGGUGAGACUGGGACCGCCAGGAGGACCAGCAGCUGUCUGCACUAGGUUGGGAUGGGCCCUCCAAGGACCUGCUCAUCCCAUACAGUGGACAAUGGGUGCCAGGCAGUGUCUCUUCACCAGUGUUUCCCCUCAGACAGAGCUAGCACAGGAUGUAGAGAAGCUGUGGAAGAUGGACGUGAUGCCCUACCAGACCAGCAAACUGGUGGUACGAUCAAAGCAGGAUCAGGAAGCGAUUGAGCUCCUCGAGGCAAAAACAAGGCGAAUAAGGGUCGACGGUGUACUCAGGUAUGCCACCCCGCUGCUGCGGAAACGCGGUGUUCCCUCCCUCAGAGCACCUAAAGAGGCCGUCCUACCAAGUCUCAGAAGUCUGGAGAGGCGCCUAGACAGGGACCCCCGACGGGCUAACGAGUACUGUGCAGCGAUCCACAAGCUGGUGGAAGCAGGUGCUGUCAGGAAGAUAAACCCACAGGAAGCCUCACUCACCGAAGAAUCGUGGUACAUACCCCACCACCUAGUGAGUCACAACGAGAAGAGACGCCUGGUCUUCAACUGUUCGUAUCAGUUCCAGGGUCGAAGCCUAAAUGAUGCUCUCCUUCCCGGACCUACGCUAGGUCCAUCUCUGCUCGGAGUUCUGCUGCGCUUCAGGGAACAUGCAGUAGCGGUCAGUGGAGACAUCCGCAGCAUGUUUCACCAAGUUCGGCUCCCUCCGGAGGAUCGAGCACUUCUCAGGUUCCUUUGGAGGGACAUGAAGCGCAACGAACCCCCAGACAUCUUUGAGUGGCAAGUUCUGCCGUUUGGCACUGCAUGCUCACCGUGCUGUGUUACUUUUGCUCUCCAGAGGCAUGCGAGAGACCAUGGUGGACCAGACGGAAGAGUCAGGCAUUCGGUGGAGCAGUGUUUUUACGUGGAUAACUGUCUCCAGAGUGUGCCCACGGCCGAGGAGGCCAAGGGGCUGGUGGAGCGACUCAGAGAAGUCUUAGCCGCGGGUGGAUUCGAGAUUCGUCAAUGGGCCUGCAACGUGCCUGAUGUCCUUAAGCACCUACCUGGAGAAGCAAGGUCCGAUGGUAUGGAGAGGUGGCUGUCACACAACGAAUCCGGCCUGACAGAGCCAACUCUGGGACUCAGCUGGCACUGGGAAACAGACACCUUAGGAUACAAGAGCCGACCUUUGGACUAUGGAUCGCUGACCAUGAGGAAUGUGUAUAAGGUGCUAGCCCGACAGUACGAUCCCCUAGGGUUCAUAUCACCCUACACUACUCGAGCUAAACUGAUCGUCCAGCGCAUGUGGGAAAAGCCCCGGGAUUGGGACGACCCGAUUCUUCCCUCUGACCUGCAGAAGGCAUGGAAGGAAUGGGAAUCAGAAUUGCCUUUGCUAUCACACAUCUCCUUACCACGUGCAUAUGUUCCCGCUCAUGCAGGUCGGAGUGUGGUCUCUAGACACAUUCAUGUAUUCAGUGAUGCCUCCGAAAGGGCUUACGGGGCAGUCUCUUACCUGAGAACCGAAGAUGCACAGGGACAAAUCUACCUGGCGUUCCUAGCAGCAAGAUCCAGGGUGGCCCCCCGCCGGCAACACUCGAUUCCCCGCCUCGAGCUUUGUGGUGCCUUGUCAGCCGCCCAGCUUGCCCAGACGAUAAAGAAGGAACUGAGCAUCAGUACAGAUGGGACGAUUCUCUGGAGUGAUUCCACUACAGUGCUCACAUGGCUAAAGUCAGAGUCGUGCCGCUUCAAAGUCUUUGUCGGCACGCGCAUAGCCGAAAUCCAAGAGCUUACAGAGCAGAGUACCUGGCGUUAUGUGGACUCCGCACAGAACCCAGCUGAUGACGUCACACGCGGGAAGACCUUGACAGAGUUAGCCAUGCCUAAUCGUUGGAGCCAAGGGCCGACUUUCCUCCUCAAAGGACCCGAUGGAUGGCCCACCUGGCCGGGCGUGGAACCCAAGCACGACACGGCAGAGUAUAAGAAGCUGACGAUAUGCGGGGUGAUUAACCGCGCGGAGGGACCAGAAACCUUGCCAAUGCACUCACUGUCAUGGAGGGAUAUGGUGAAGUCCGUGGCUCAGGAGCUGCAUGGGGCGGCAGGAAGAGAACCGUUGAGUGCAGCCGACUACCAGCAGGCAGAGAUGACGGUUUUCAAAAGAGUCCAAUCUGAGUGCUUCCCUGAGGAGUUGCGACACCUGAGAGCCGGGAAGGCACUGCUUAAGAGUAGUCGCAUACUUAGCCUCUCACCGGAGUUAGACCCUGAGGAGGAUAUUAUACGGGUGGGAGGACGACUCAGACGUGCUGAGGGGUUAGAUUCGGUUUUCAAGCACCCCAUUGUAUUGGACCCCACUCAUUUGGUCACAAAGCUCCUUAUCCGGGACUACGAUGCCCGCCUCUGUCAUCCAGGCCCUGAGCGAGUAUUCGCGGAGUUGCGCCGUACCUUCUGGGUUCUUCGUGGCAGAGAGGCCGUGCGGAAGGUGCAACAUCAAUGUGAGGAGUGCCGAAGAUGGAAGUCCAAGCCACUGGUCCCGAAGAUGUCCGACUUACCUGAAGCCCGUCUGCGUCUACACAAGCCCCCGUUCUUCUCGACAGGUGUAGAUUGCUUUGGACCUUUCCAUGUAAAGUUGGGACGGCGCUCAGAGAAGAGAUGGGGGAUCAUCUAUAAGUGCCUUACCACCCGAGCGGUGCACGUGGAUCUAUUGCACAGUAUGGAUGUGGAUUCCUUUCUUAUGAGCCUCAGACGGUUUAUCGCUCGCCGAGGAACUCCCGCAGAGCUCUAUUCAGACCGAGGUACAAACUUUACGGCUGGAGAGAAGGAGCUCCGCGAGUCCUUCAAUAGCAUGUCCUCAGAUCUACAACGAUUACUGGCUGGACAGAAAAUUGAUUUCCGCUUCAACCCCCCUGCAGCUCCUCACUUCGGGGGGACGUGGGAAAGAGAGAUCAAGUCUGUGAAGUCCGCUCUGUAUACAGUCAUAGGGGCUCAACCUGUCUCCGAAGAGGUGCUCCAUACUACUCUUCUGGAGGUAGAGGCCAUCCUCAACGCGAAACCGCUGGGCUAUACCUCAUCCAAUGUGGCCGACUUGGAUGCAGUAACCCCAAAUGUACUUCUGAUGGGGCGGCUGGAUGGAUCACUGCCGACGGUGGUAUAUCAGAAGAGCGAGGGAUUAAGCAAGCGAAUGUGGAGGCACUGUCAGGUGAUGGCGGAUCAUUUCUGGGGAAGAUUCAUUAGGGAUUACUUGCCAGCACUACAACGCAGACAAAAGUGGCAUGACACCCCUACGGAUUUGACAGUCAAUUCAGUGGUGUUGCUAAUGGACCCUCAGUUUCCCAGGGCCCUCUGGCCGGUGGGUAGAGUGGUUAAAGUGCAUCAGAGCGCAGAUGGUCAUGUUAGAUCUGCAGACGUGAGAAUCAAAGACAAGAUCUACACUCGGCCAGUGGCCAGACUGAUUACUCUUCCUGCUAUCCCAGAUCACAGAGAUGAUGCGCACGGGACCCCGGCCUCUUCAGAUUAAGAGGCGAGUCUUUGCAGGGGCAAAUUGCAAGCAAUUUGGGGGCGGCUGUGCAAAAGACCCAAGCUGAGGAGUUAUCACGCCGGAAUGAUGUGGGGAUAUUCACUGUUCCCAGAGGAGCUUUUAUUAUGAAAGCGAGCACCGCUCAUCCGGAGCGAUUGCGGAAGAGCGUUAAUUGUUGGAACAGCGCGUGGGACAGUGGUGCGGCAUACACAGGCUCGUAAAUCAGGCUGUAACUGAAUCUUCCGAGCCAGGUUAUAACGUAGUGUGCUGAUGUGCGUCCAAUAAGAGGAAACCACAUCUGCACAUCUGUACAUCUUUACAUAUUAACCUCUCCACCUGCAUCUUACCUGGCCCGGUUGCAAAUACUGCCAAUCUUAACCGCCACUGAAAUUUACCUGGAUAAUUCAGAGAGUACCAGUCUGAGUGAUGAACGGAACAGCACUCAGUUUGUUCAUGGCUCUGGGUUCAGUAAAGGGACACUGAUCGUACUCCUCUUGAUCUUGUUAACGCUGGCUCUCCCCUCUGAUGAUUGUUCAUGUGUGCCCAAUAAACGGCUUAAGUUGACCCAAUGCUCUCUGCUGUGUUCUGACCGACACCCUGGUUCACUGCUAUACUUAUUUGAAACUAGCCCCUUUCCUCUCAGAGUAGCCCUUCGCUACACUUAGGUUUUGUGUGAGAAGACCAUGGGAUGUUUAUCUUCUGAUAUCUCAUGUGUUUUCUCGUGUCUUGUCAUUGGCCCCGCCCCUCUCAUCUGAUGUAUUGCUUUCCUGCCGUGUCUAAUGUUCCCCACCUGCCCUUGUUAAUUAUCCUUCGUUUGUCUACCCUUUAAAUAGUCCUCAUGUUUCAUUGUCUUGUUGCUCGUGGAUUACGUACGUUCCUUGUACCUGUGAUGUCGUGUUGUAUUCCAAACCUGUCCAAAUCGAUGUUCCUUGUUCCCACUGUGAGUCAUUGUUGGUCUUGUUUAUGUUAGUUUAAGUCAAGCGUUUUAUAGUCUAGUUAAUAGUCCUUGGUUCCUGUGUUUUCCUAAUAUCAUUUAUUCCCAUUGUCUUUGUCAGUGUUUUUCCCCAUCGAGGGAGUUUUUGUUUUGUGUUUAUAUUUAAAAUAAAAUACCCCUGUUUUAACCCCUUACCUGCCGUUGCCUGCACUUGGGUUCUUCUUCCACGUAUACCGUGACAGUGAGAGAAUUUUCUCCACUGCCGGAGAUAUUGUGAGUGCGAACCGGUCUCGUCUUGCUGCAGAGAGUGUUGACAAGCUUAUCUUUUUACAUAAGAACUACCAAAUACAGGAAUAGAUAGCUAAACUUAGUGAUGUUGAACUUUACAUUCUAAAUGAAGACUACUAUACUGCAGUACUGUUAAAGUUUUUCAAAUGUUCAGUUUACGUUCAACUUUACAUGUUAUGUUUUUUAUGUAAGAAUUGAUGUGUUCCCAUGUUUGAAUGGGCUACCAGCAGCUGUGAUCUGCCAGUGUUAAUUUUUAUGUAUCUUUAUUUUAUUAUUUAUAUAUUACAUUUAUAUAUUUGUAUUUAUUAUCUCACAUAUAUAUAUUUGUAUGUAUUUUAUUCAGUACACUAGGGGUGUUUACAAGUUACAAGUAAAUAAAGAGAAUUGCAAACAAAACCUUUUUUUCUUCUUAACAUUUUCAUGUUCCUGUCACCUAAGCAUAGAAUAAUGGAAAAAAAAAACCACUUCAUUUUGCCAAGCCAUCCGUACCGAACCGAACACUGUGGUUAAAGAACCGAGGUACGUAUUGAACUAUGGGUUUACUGUAUUGUUGCAUCCCUAGUAGACACCCUCGGCUCGCUACCGAAACGCCCAGGGAAAUCGCACACACCAGGAUGAAUCCGCUGCUCUGCGUCAUACAAUCCAGUAGUUUCUUUUCAAUCAGAGAAGAUGCGCUCAGCAGGUUCCAAAGAACAAAAAUGUGAAUGAAUGGGCACGCCAUCUUCCUUUUUAUACCCGUAUAUACGGAGCGGAGACUGGCAUGCCACGCCAUUCGCCAACUUCAUUGGCCUUUAAAAAGUACAAUCGGAGAUGAUAGGUACUCAAGAUCAAACCCCAUUCUGUCGGUUCGACACAACAUCGAGAGACCGACAGAAAGGGAACUUAACUUAACUGAUUUUAUUUAAUUUGUACUGUUUUAAUGUUUUGUAUGUAUGUGUU